AUGAAGACAGCAGGAGAGUGGCAAGCACUAAACGUGUAAGCCCGCCGAAGAAGUAAGCAACUAUGCCGUUUGUCGUCCCGAUGAACUCUGGUUGUAAAUCUUUCAGGCACCUUACUGAUCGCCCUGA
RNAcentral lists this non-coding RNA (127 nucleotides) under Photobacterium ganghwense. RNAcentral's name for it is "Glycine sequence". It matches the Rfam family "Glycine riboswitch aptamer". From Rfam's summary of the family: This family represents the bacterial glycine riboswitch. Lineage: Bacteria; Pseudomonadati; Pseudomonadota; Gammaproteobacteria; Vibrionales; Vibrionaceae. The record is from Rfam by way of RNAcentral.